CCUACGGGAGGCAGCAGUGAGGAAUAUUGGUCAAUGGGCGCGAGCCUGAACCAGCCAAGUAGCGUGAAGGAUGAAUGCUCUACGGGUUGUAAACUUUUUUUAUAAAGGAAUAAAGUGAGGCACGUCUGCCUUUUUGUAUGUACUUUAUGAAUAAGGAUCGGCUAACUCCGUGCCAGCAGCCGCGGUAAUACGGAGGAUCUGCUCGUUAUACGGAUUUAUUGGGUUUAAAGGGAGCGUAGAUGGGUUGUUAAGUCAGUUGUGAAAGUUUGCGGCUCAACCGUAAAAGUGCAAUUGAUACUGGCAGCCUUGAGUACAGUUGAGGUAGGCGGAAUUCGUGGUGUAGCGGUGAAAUGCGUAGAUAUCACGAAGAACACCGAUUGCGAAGGCAGCCUACUAAACUGCCACUGACAUUGAUGCUCGAAAGUGUGGGGAUCAAACAGGAUUAGAUACCCGAGUAGUC
RNAcentral lists this ribosomal RNA (460 nucleotides) under uncultured bacterium. RNAcentral describes it as "partial 16S ribosomal RNA". It matches the Rfam family "Bacterial small subunit ribosomal RNA", at positions 338 to 795 of the family's 1533-position model. The record is from RNAcentral.